This 218-nucleotide ribosomal RNA is filed under the name uncultured bacterium. RNAcentral describes it as "partial 16S ribosomal RNA". It matches the Rfam family "Bacterial small subunit ribosomal RNA", at positions 1283 to 1500 of the family's 1533-position model. The record is from RNAcentral.
CAGUCACAGUUCGGAUUGAAGGCUGAAAUUCGCCUUCAUGAAGCCGGAAUUGCUAGUAAUGGCAGGUCAGCAUACUGCCGUGAAUACGUUCCCGGGCCUUGUACACACCGCCCGUCACACCAUGAGAGUUGGGGAUACCCGAAGUCGGUAGCCUAACCGUAAGGAGGGCGCCGCCGAAGGUGGGAUUGAUGACUGGGGUGAAGUCGUAACAAGGUAAC